CUAGUACAUCAACAAAUAUUUUUUUUCGAGAGUAAGCCUAGGCGUACCAUAUUUUUAUAGAAGAUAGAAGUUGAAUUACAAGACACUACGACUUGCUGCGAACAGCAAGUGUAGCAAGACUCCACACCCGAGCUAAUCAAUAGAUUAGCCACCACAACAAUUACGAACACAACGCAAAGGGCCUACCCUAAACCAAUCCUCUAGCCGCGUCACAACAAAUGCCGAACACCACUAAGAGCAACAACUUCAGCCGGGCUCUCUUUGCCAACGCGCUACCCACCCUUAAAUGCGUAGGAGGAGACGGCAAGUAGGUAGCGGGACUCGGCCGGACCUGAACAAAGCCAUCGUCUUGGGGCACCGGCAGCAGCGUACAUAGCGCCCAUGAAGAUCACUCGGACCAGCAGCAAGCACCGGAGAACCACAUCACAGAACCGCCAAGCCAAGUCUCCGUCCACGAUGCUCUCAACAGAGUAACGACGUCAAGACGCCGCCAUCGCCGAUCCUACUACGGACCAAGGCUUUCGCCCGGAGACCACAACCCAUCAAGAGGAGGAGAUGCCGACAGACUUCGGCGAUGCCUCCAAAGAGAGGAACGACACCCACAGGCGCCGUCGUCGCCAGCUCUAACCAAAGUUAAGCAGAAUUUUCAUCCAAACCAUCGGACACCUCCCACCCCUACCAUCGGAGCCAAACAGUCGAUGCGAGGCCACACCGCCGCUGCCACAGCACCUUGCCGUCAUGCUCCAGCUGUUGCAGGACACCGACCCCUCGCACGGCCAGGAGCACGCAGACCAACCUCCAGCUCCUACACGUAUGAAGAAGAAGCACCAGCACCACCACCACUCCAGCUUGGCCAGGAACCGCCGGCCACAGGCAGGGCUGGAGACGCCACUCCUGGCAGUCAGCAACCAGCCGAGCCGCGGCUGCGCCCCAGGAGCACGCACGCGAGAGACCAUCGCACCACCGCCUUCACGCGCCCGCUAACCGCAGCUCUCCCCGCCGCGAGACCCAGGAUCGAGCGCCCAGAUCCGGUCACGCAGCCACCAGCUCCCCAAGGCGCAGCCUUCCACCUCCACGCCGGCGACAGCAGGAGGCGCAUCGCGCGCCCCGGCCUCCGCAGCGUCUCCCGGCCGCCGCUCCAGGCCCAGGCCAAGAUCCGCCGCCAAGAUCCCUCCGCGCCACACCCUCCGACACCGCGCCGGCGCCCUGAGAAAGCUGCCACCCCUCACCUCCAGACCGUGCUCUUCCUCUCCCAGUGCUCCCCGCCGUGCGCCGCCACUCCGGAGACAUCCACCGCGCCGCCCGCUUGACGAAGCUUCCCCGCGCGAAGAAGGCCCGUCGGGGCGCGCCACCCCCGCCCGCCGCCUUUGACGGCCGGGCGGCGGCGGCCAAGGAAUCGAGGAGUGGAGGGGUGCUUGGGGGCGGCUAGGGUUUCCUCCGGAGCCGCCCGCGCGAGCGGCCCGGGAGGGAGAGGGGAACUGGAGGAGUGUAUGUGAGGACCUGACGCUGGCGCCAAGGACAUGCUAUCCGCCGUGCUGCCGGGGGCGCGGCCAUACACUGGAGCUGCAGCCUCAUGUCUGUUGUUUGGGCAUGGGGCUUUCAAUGGUGAGCAUGGAUUGGGGAGACGAAGAUUAUGGGAGGACAAGGAAGGAUGAUGAUUUGAAGGUAAAAAUAAUCGACAAUGCUAGUUGAUGUGCAUAAGGAUGCUAAAAGGAUAUUUAUACCCUGUUGCAAUGCACGCUGUGGAGCAUGGCGGCGUUGGCUACUUGGCUUCCUGGUUCUCGGCCUUCAUCGGGUGGCUAGACCACACCGCACAGAAGACGAGGGUGAUGUCGGUUAGGUGCCUGGGCAACGACGAUUAGAAUGGACAGGUCGAAGUCGCAGGUGCGUGACGGCUGGAGAGGGCCGCAAGGUCCAGAGAGGGGGUGCACAGCGGAUGUGUUCUACUUCCCAUUGAGAGGAUUCUGGCCAAAUCAGAUGAUGCAGGUUUUUCCAUUGAAGAGAGCAAAUUAUUCGAAAAAACUGCAAUAUGAGAGGCUUCGUUGGUACCUUCAGAAAGUUGCAUCCCAGUGUUGUGGGUUACACCUUCUGGCGUGAAAAUCAGCUCCAUAAAAAGAAAGGUGCAUCACUAUAUUGGUGGAUAAUUUAAUUACAUAAAUGAUGUAAUGGUGCAUUUGCUUUUAGAUUUCUGUUAACCUGGUACCAAAAAGGUAAGCAUGCAUGCUCGAAAAAUCUUAGCAUUUGGGAAUCUAGCUAUUCAGGCAUCCUUGAGUGAUACAUAUUUCUUUGUACAUUGAAAUACAGUUGGACAACAAGCACCUUAUGCCAGUUGUGUUUA
This is a long non-coding RNA of Aegilops tauschii subsp. strangulata, 2338 nucleotides long. RefSeq lists it as uncharacterized. The record is from RefSeq and is a predicted model, not a curated record. Lineage: Eukaryota; Viridiplantae; Streptophyta; Magnoliopsida; Poales; Poaceae.